UACGUAGGGUGCGAGCGUUAAUCGGAAUUACUGGGCGUAAAGCGUGCGCAGGCGGUGAUGUAAGACAGGUGUGAAAUCCCCGGGCUUAACCUGGGAACUGCAUUUGUGACUGCAUCGCUGGAGUGCGGCAGAGGGGGAUGGAAUUCCGCGUGUAGCAGUGAAAUGCGUAGAUAUUGUGAGGAACACUAGUGGCGAAGGCGAGACUCUGGACAGUUCCUGACGCUGAGGCACGAAAGCAUGGGGAGCAAAAGGG
RNAcentral lists this ribosomal RNA (253 nucleotides) under uncultured bacterium. RNAcentral's name for it is "partial 16S ribosomal RNA". It matches the Rfam family "Bacterial small subunit ribosomal RNA", at positions 524 to 776 of the family's 1533-position model. The record is from RNAcentral.